This 370-nucleotide ribosomal RNA is filed under the name uncultured bacterium. RNAcentral describes it as "bacterial SSU rRNA". It matches the Rfam family "Bacterial small subunit ribosomal RNA", at positions 28 to 402 of the family's 1533-position model. The record is from RNAcentral.
GACGAACGCUGGCGGCGUGCUUAACACAUGCAAGUCGAGCGGUAAGGCCCUUUCGGGGGUACACGAGCGGCGAACGGGUGAGUAACACGUGGGUGACCUGCCCUUAGCUCUGGGAUAAGCCUGGGAAACUGGGUCUAAUACCGGAUAUGACUCCAUAACGCAUGUUGUGGGGUGGAAAGCCUUGUGCGGCUAGGGAUGGGCCCGCGGCCUAUCAGCUUGUUGGUGGGGUGAUGGCCACCAAGGCGACGACGGUAGCCGGCCUGGAGGGCGACCGGCCACACUGGGACUGAGACACGGCCCAGACUCCUACGGGAGGCAGCAGUGGGGAAUCUUGCGCAAUGGGCGAAAGCCUGACGCAGCGACGCCGCGU